Molecule: long non-coding RNA, 514 nt
Filed under: Oryzias javanicus (javanese ricefish)
Lineage: Eukaryota; Metazoa; Chordata; Actinopteri; Beloniformes; Adrianichthyidae
Description: lncRNA (ENSOJAG00000008857.1)
Source: RNAcentral
GAGAAACAGCCAGAAAACAUGGAGAUACUUAAGCUUAAAUCUAUGCUGGGAAAGCUCUAAUUAUAAAAGCUCCACACCUGUUUGCAAGCUUGGCAGCACGGCACUUUGGUUUUGAUGGGAUUUCUCUGGAUCAGAACUGCUUUUCAUCUGUGGUGACCACAAAAAAAAAAAAAACUCUCCAGAGAUCUGGUAAGGAUGAAGAAUUUCAGAGGACUGUGCUUUGAUCUGAAGAUGAUGAAGAGGGUUCCUUCUGGACUCGAGGAGUAGCUGUAGUGACCAAGACAAAAAAAAACAAAAAAUGUCUCAGUUUGGUUAACAAAAGGACACGGAAGACACCGACGUAGAGCUGUCCAGGCUGGAUCACGACCGGUGAAGGGACUGGAUUCAUGCACAGAGCUCCCACUCUGCUCCCUAAAUGACUCACUAAAAAGCUGCCUUGCCGGUGAUCAAGCUGUGAGGGGGCCUUGAUCGCACACCAGGACUCUGGGCCUGCCCUUCUGCUCAGACUCUGCAG